This 400-nucleotide ribosomal RNA is filed under the name phytoplankton environmental sample. RNAcentral describes it as "partial small subunit ribosomal RNA". It matches the Rfam family "Eukaryotic small subunit ribosomal RNA", at positions 587 to 995 of the family's 1831-position model. The record is from RNAcentral.
AGCUCCAAUAGCGUAUAUUAAAGUUGUUGCAGUUAAAAGCUCGUAGUUGAAUUUCUGAUGGUCCAUGAGGACAAGCCGACAGGUUCUGACCUUUUUGGACUCUUCAUCCUUCUGUUAACCCUUCUUGGCAUUUAUUUGCUGGUUGGGGGCUCAGAUACUUUACCUUGAGCAAAUUAGAGUGUUUCAGGCAGGCUAUCGCUUGAAUACUUCAUUAGCAUGGAAUAAUAGAAGAGGACUUCGCUCAUUUUAUUGGUUUGAUGAUCGAAGUAAUGAUUAAUAGGGACAGUUGGGGGUAUUAGUACUAAAUUGUCAGAGGUGAAAUUCUUUGAUUUGUUUAAGACUAACUUAUGCGAAAGCAUUUACCAAGAAUGUUUUCCUUAAUCAAGAACGAAAGUACGCA